This 2424-nucleotide non-coding RNA is filed under the name Pongo abelii (Sumatran orangutan). The record is from RNAcentral. Lineage: Eukaryota; Metazoa; Chordata; Mammalia; Primates; Hominidae.
AUGUUGGCAGGUCCCUCUUUUUAUUUUCACUGAGAGCUUUAUUUUACUAAGUGCCACUAUCCUUACCUUUCAAUGUGUCUGCAUGCCUAAUUUUUCCUGGUUGUUAGACAAGAACCCGGAUUUUAGUUGAACUCUGGAGCAAAAAUCCUGCAUCAUUUGUAGGUCAACAACAAGAGGGCAGGGCCUCCCAAGAAAAGCUUUACUAAUGUAAUAGCUUUGGCCAAGUCCACCCAAUAUAUCUUCCUCUCUGCAAAGAGAAACAAGCUAUUGUCUCAUCCUAGAUUUCCUCUUCUUCCAUGCCACUGUUAUUCAUGUUCAAAUCCUGGCUGUCCUUCAGGGUCCAAUUCAAAUGAUUAUCACCAUUUUCAAUUAAUGUCAUUUCUUCCUAUUUUCUACCUUUUGUUAGCUAUGUUAAAGUGUUUCUUUACCAACAUCCCCCAUACAUUGUGUAACACAGUGUCUAUGGCUUACUCAUUUUUGAAUCCUUAUCAUGACCUGACAUAAUGAAGAUUCUUAUUACAUAGUGAUACAUGUAAAUAUGAGUUAAUUAGUACAUGAUAGACUUGAUUUCCAGAAUGAUUUUGUAUAGUUGAAUUGUCUCGUAAGGGGACACACGUGAAAUGAAGACUUUAGUCACUAUCAAGAAGAUAUUUUGGGUGACUUUACAUACCUGCCAAUGAUAAAUCUAGAAACAAUAGAUGCUUGGGUAGGUGAUUUCCUUUUGCCUUCUUUAUCGUUGUUUUCCCAGUAUUUCUUACAUUCAUCUAAUUUCAUUAGAUGCCCAUAUACUUUAUACUGGCUCUUCCUGUGAGGUUUGAACUGGUCCAGUCCAUUUGUUUUCAGAAUUGAUUCAUCUGGAGGGUCAUCUCCUAUCCUCCCAAACAAUGAUAUACCAGUCUGAGGACUGUGUAGAAGGGACUUCUCUUUCUACUCAGUAUGACCAAAAUAAUUCAAUCCUAGCUGUGGUGUGUGAUUUAUGAAUAUUUUCUCCUUUAGUUUGUGUGAACCAAUUUUGUGCCAUAAGAAUUUUAGCCUCCUUUUCCACAAAAGAGUGAUUUAAUCAAACAAAAGUUGACAAUCAAAGUAGUACAUUUGUGUGACAGUGAUUAAACAUGGUGUUUUUCUCUUAGGUGUCUGAGCAGAUUUGGAAAUGCCCAUUCUGCUCUCAGAGCUCCUCUGCUUUAAGGGGGAUGGACUUCCUGUACCUCUACAUAGUGCAUGAGUGCCAGCCACUGGUAUCUAGAACUGUGAUUAGUGAGGGAACACUAGGCGGAACAAACAACCCAACUCUUUUUAUCUAAUCUGUUGACUCCAAAGGGACCUUCUGCUUAUUCCAGUUAAAACUCAAGCUGCAAUUCAAAAUGAAAUCAGUAUCUUUUUUCUCUACUUGUCAGCAAAGCAAGAUUCUACCUUAUAAUUACCAUGUAACAAUUAAUCGCAAACAUAGUGGCUUAAAGCAGCUCCUCUUUUAGCCUACAUAUCUGCAAACUGGCAGUUUGGACUGAGCUCAGCUGGAUGUGUUUUCUGAGCUGAUCAUGUGUGUAGGGUCUGCUGCUGGCUGGUUUAGACUGAUGGUGGAUGAGAAACCACAUGAAGAAGAGAGGCAUGAUGGUGGCAGAGUUCUGAAAGAGUCACACAGAAGGCCCUUGAGUUCGUGGCUUGAAAAUAGCAUCCUGUCACUUCUACCACAUUCUAUUUACCAGGCCAGCCCAGAUAAAGAUGUGAAGAAACAGACUCCAUCUCUUGAUGAGAGAAGUUGAAAAUCAAUGGACAAUGGCAUGGAUAAGGAAAGGAGUGAUGAUUGUGGCCAUAUUUGUAAUGGCCAUAUUUGAUACCCUUUUCAGUUUUCCUAGCCACACUUCUCAUUAGCCAGGAAAAUUAAAUGAAUGUCAACACUGAAGAAAACAGAUUUUGGUUAAAAGCAAUGAUGUAGCUAAUAUCCCAUUCAGGUAAAAGAUUACUUAUACAGUAUGAGACAGGCAUGAGGCAGAGAAGUGCUUACAGGUUGGUUUCUGCUUUGUUAGCAGAUUUACUUUUAGGUCAUAUACUACUUUGUUGUUACUGUUUUAUUGAGAAAAAAAUAACAGAUAUUUCCAAAAUUUUGCAGCAUGCAACUCAGUGCUUCAGUUGGCAUUCAAUCAAAAUUUCCUAGAAACAAAAAAAAGACAAGAGAGAGACAUGGAAUUAUGACUAUUCUACUAGAUUAGCUCCUACAUGUCAAAAUCUGUCAAGUUUAUGAUUUAUUCAGAUAGCACUUGUUUUUGGUGUAAUAACUAAACUGUUGCUUUAGAGUCUACUACAUUCUCCUCUAUUAUUUGGAAUUUUUCUCUUUAUUAUUUUGUUCAAGUAGGAUAUUGUGCUGAGUUGAACCAUGAAAUGAAUUUUAUUGAACAACAUCAACAACCUAAAUGUUCUGGGGUGUCA